This 513-nucleotide ribosomal RNA is filed under the name uncultured microorganism. RNAcentral's name for it is "bacterial SSU rRNA". It matches the Rfam family "Bacterial small subunit ribosomal RNA", at positions 9 to 524 of the family's 1533-position model. The record is from RNAcentral.
GAGUUUGAUCAUGGCUCAGGACGAACGCUGGCGGCGUGCUUAACACAUGCAAGUCGAACGAGAAUCUACUGAAAGAGUUUUCGGACAAUGGAAGUAGAGGAAAGUGGCGGACGGGUGAGUAACGUGUGAGGAACCUGCCUUGAAGAGGGGGACAACAGUUGGAAACGACUGCUAAUACCGCAUGAUGCAUAAGGGUCGCAUGAUUCUUAUGCCAAAGAUUUAUCGCUUCAAGAUGGCCUCGCGUCUGAUUAGCUAGUUGGCGGGGUAACGGCCCACCAAGGCGACGAUCAGUAGCCGGACUGAGAGGUUGAACGGCCACAUUGGGACUGAGAUACGGCCCAGACUCCUACGGGAGGCAGCAGUGGGGAAUAUUGGGCAAUGGGCGCAAGCCUGACCCAGCAACGCCGCGUGAAGGAAGAAGGCUUUCGGUAUGUAAACUUCUAUCAGCAGGGAAGAAAAUAGACGGUACCUGACUAAGAAGCCCGGCUAACUACGUGCAGCCGCCGCGGUAAG